This is a ribosomal RNA of Mustela putorius furo (domestic ferret), 124 nucleotides long. Lineage: Eukaryota; Metazoa; Chordata; Mammalia; Carnivora; Mustelidae. The record is from Ensembl.
GUCUGUGGCCAUAGCAUUCUGAAUGCACCACGCCUAGUCUUCUGAUUUCAGAAGCUAAGCAGGGUCAGUCCUGAUUAGUACUUGGAUGGGAGAACUGCUUUUGAAAAAACAUAAGUCAUAGCUA